CAACGAGCGCAACCCACGUCUUUAGUUGCCAGCAUUGAGUUGGGCACUCUAGAGAGACCGCCGGUGAUAAACCGGAGGAAGGUGUGGAUGACGUCAAGUCAUCAUGCCCCUUACAUCCUGGGCUACACACGUACUACAAUGCUACGGACAAAGGGCAGCAAACUCGCGAGAGCUAGCAAAUCCCAUAAACCGUGGCUCAGUUCAGAUCGUAGGCUGCAACUCGCCUACGUGAAGGAGGAAUCGCUAGUAAUCGCAGGUCAGCAUACUGCGGUGAAUACGUUCCCGGGCCUUGUACACACCGCCCGUCACACCAUGGAAGU
Molecule: ribosomal RNA, 320 nt
Filed under: uncultured cyanobacterium
Lineage: Bacteria; Bacillati; Cyanobacteriota
Description: bacterial SSU rRNA
Rfam family: Bacterial small subunit ribosomal RNA
Source: RNAcentral